UGCAAGUCGAGCGGUAGCACAGAGAGCUUGCUCUCGGGUGACGAGCGGCGGACGGGUGAGUAAUGUCUGGGAAACUGCCUGAUGGAGGGGGAUAACUACUGGAAACGGUAGCUAAUACCGCAUAACGUCGCAAGACCAAAGUGGGGGACCUUCGGGCCUCAUGCCAUCAGAUGUGCCCAGAUGGGAUUAGCUAGUAGGUGGGGUAACGGCUCACCUAGGCGACGAUCCCUAGCUGGUCUGAGAGGAUGACCAGCCACACUGGAACUGAGACACGGUCCAGACUCCUACGGGAGGCAGCAGUGGGGAAUAUUGCACAAUGGGCGCAAGCCUGAUGCAGCCAUGCCGCGUGUGUGAAGAAGGCCUUCGGGUUGUAAAGCACUUUCAGCGGGGAGGAAGGCGUUAAGGUUAAUAACCUUGGCGAUUGACGUUACCCGCAGAAGAAGCACCGGCUAACUCCGUGCCAGCAGCCGCGGUAAUACGGAGGGUGCAAGCGUUAAUCGGAAUUACUGGGCGUAAAGCGCACGCAGGCGGUCUGUCAAGUCGGAUGUGAAAUCCCCGGGCUCAACCUGGGAACUGCAUUCGAAACUGGCAGGCUAGAGUCUUGUAGA
This 608-nucleotide ribosomal RNA is filed under the name Klebsiella pneumoniae. RNAcentral's name for it is "bacterial SSU rRNA". It matches the Rfam family "Bacterial small subunit ribosomal RNA", at positions 56 to 655 of the family's 1533-position model. The record is from RNAcentral. Lineage: Bacteria; Pseudomonadati; Pseudomonadota; Gammaproteobacteria; Enterobacterales; Enterobacteriaceae.